AUUUUAAUUAAUUUUUUAAUAGUUUUUGAGGACUUUAACUUGUCAAUGAUAAAGCUAUGAAAAGUCAAGAGGGAACAUUUUCCCGCUAAAAUUUCAAUGGCUAAUAUAUCAAAACGAUCAUGGUGACCUUUUAUUUUUUUUGGCUCUUUUGAUUCCUUUAUUAAUCCCCUAUCAAUAUAAACUAGUCUUUUGAAAAGUUAAUUAUUUUGAAACAGAGAAGCGAACUCCCUUAAAAUAAUCUCUUUCUUUUUUAUCUCACUAAGUAACAAAAUAUAGGGCACUUACUUCCACAUUAAUAGAGCAUUUCCUUAACCCUUAAACUCACUUUCAUUCUUUACUUUAACCCAAACCCUCACCCUUAAUCUAACCCUUAAGGAAGUUUGCUGCUCAGUUUUAAAAUAAAUAACUUUCCAUAAAACUAGUAUAUAUUGAUAGGGGAUUAAUUGAGGAAUCAAAAUAGCAAAAAAAAUAUAGGGGUCAAGGUGCUUGUUUUCAAGAUAUAAGCCAUUGGAAUUUUGGUGGGAAAAUGUUCUCUUGAUUUUUCAUAGCUGUAUUAUUGACCAGUUAAAGUUCUCAAAAACUAUUAAAAAAUAGUUAGAUUUUAUAAGACUUUUACAAAUGGCUAAUUAUACAUGUAAAAGAUUUAUAAAAAGAAAAAUAGAGUUCCAUGGGCAAAACAUUUUAAUGGAUAAAACCAGAGGAUUUUGUUAAUCUGACAAAAAUUCCAAAACAUGACAAGCAAACAUCCUUCAUCAUAAUCCUUAAACUAGCUGCCCUAACCCUAACCUUACCACUAAUCCUGGAAACUUGUCAACCUAUGUAGGUAGACAAUUAUUUGUAAAAGUUAAUUUGUCGACCAACAAUUUUGUUAAUGUUAAGUUGUCGACCAACAAUUUUGUUAAUGUUAAGUUGUCGACCAAUGUAGACAAUUUUUAACCGGAUUUUUGUGACAAAAAUGUCGGUUAUUGAUUUGGGGAUGUACGGCGGGCGGGCGGCAAUCAAAUGUUGUCCAUGCAUUAACUCAUGAACUGUUCAACCAAAGCUUUUAAAAUUUUAAUAUGUUGUUACUGACAACUAAAUGAAGGUCAAGUUCAAUAAUGGCCAUUUUGACUUUUACCGUUCAGGAGUUAUGGUUCUUGAAAGAUUGAAAAAUGGAGUUUCCAGUCGUGUCCGUGCAUUUACGCAUGAACUGUUCUACUUAAGCUUCCCAAAUUUUAAUAUGUUGUUACUGAUGACAAAAUGGAGGUCAACUUCAAUAAUGACGAUUUUGACUUUUACCGUUCAGGAGUUAUGGUUCUUGAAAGAUUGAAAAAUGGUGUUUCCAGUCGUGUCCGUGCAUUUACGCAUGAACUGUUUUACCAAAGCUUCCCAAAUUUUAAUAUGUUGUUACUGAUGACAAAAUAGAGGUCAAGUUCAAUAAUGACGAUUUUGACUUUUACCGUUCAGGAGUUAUGGUUCUUGAAAGAUUUAAAAAUGGUGUUUCCAGUCGUGUCCGUGCAUUUUCUCAUGAACCAUUCAACCAAAGCUUUUGAAAUUUUUAUAUGUUGUUACUGAUGGCAAAUUAGAGGUCAAGUUCAAUAAUGACUGUUUUGACUUUUACCGUUCAGGAGUUAUGGUUCUUGAAAGAUUGUGAAAUGAUGUUUCCAUUCACGUUGUUGCAUUUACUCAUGAACCAUUCAAUCUAAGCUUUUCAAAUUUUAAGAUGUUGAUACUGAUGACAAAUGGAGGUCAAAUUUGAUAUUGACGAUUUUCACUUUCACCAUUCAUCAGUAAUGGUUCUUGUGAUAUUGCCAGGACACAAAUAAAUAUUAAUAAAUCCGGUUUGCUGUCGUUGUGACAGCCUCUUGUUUUAAAGUUAAAUUGUCUUCCUGUGAAUUUAAACAUUUUUUUCAAGAUUCUACUGUCAAUUUGACGACUGUAUCACAUAUUUAACAAAAGAAGAUAGUCUGCAAGGAACUACAUAUCUUUAUACUCCAGUUUAUCCAUUUAUUAAAAAUUCAAAUGACUAAAAAAUUCACAGAUUUUUGAUACAUUUGUUUUUAAUAAAAAUUGCUACACCAGUAUAGAUUUCACAA
Molecule: long non-coding RNA, 2075 nt
Filed under: Mytilus galloprovincialis (Mediterranean mussel)
Lineage: Eukaryota; Metazoa; Mollusca; Bivalvia; Mytilida; Mytilidae
Source: RNAcentral